Molecule: non-coding RNA, 218 nt
Filed under: Labilithrix luteola
Lineage: Bacteria; Pseudomonadati; Myxococcota; Polyangiales; Labilitrichaceae
Source: RNAcentral
AUCGACCGGCUUCGUGAAGGUAGCCACCCGGCGUGGGUGGCAUUGGGAAUCCGCAGCGCAAGCAAAGCGGAGCUGCCCCGCAGCGGUAGUUGGGAACGAGCUUCACCGAGUCACUGGCCUCUGGGCCGGGAAGAGUCGAAGCGAGGAAGUCGUGGCGGCCAUCGUGCCGCUUCGAAGUGCCCAUGAGCCCGAAGACCGACCUCCACCUGCGCGGCGUG